GAUGAAGAACGUAGCAAAAUGCGAUACUUGGUGUGAAUUGCAGAAUCCCGUGAACCAUCGAGUUUUUGAACGCAAGUUGCGCCCGAAGCCUUUUGGCCGAGGGCACGUCUGCCUGGGCGUCACGCAUCGCGUCGCCCCCCACAAUUCUCCGUAAAAGGAACAUGUGUUUUGGGGGCGGAUAUUGGUCUCCCGUGCUCAUGGCGUGGUUGGCCGAAAUAGGAGUCCUUUCGAUGGACGCACGAACUAGUGGUGGUCGUAAAAACCCUCGUCUUUUGUUUCGUGCUGUUGCUCGCAAGGUAAACUCUUUAAAAACCCCAAUGUGUCGUCUCUUGACGACGCUUCGACCGCGACACCAGGUCAGGCGGGACUACCCGCUGAGUUUAAGCAUAUCAAUAAGCGGAGGA
Molecule: unclassified non-coding RNA, 404 nt
Filed under: soil metagenome
Description: partial contains 5.8S ribosomal RNA, internal transcribed spacer 2, and large subunit ribosomal RNA
Rfam family: 5.8S ribosomal RNA (bases 1-122)
Source: RNAcentral